AUUGAACGCUGGCGGCAUGCCUUACACAUGCAAGUCGAACGGUAACGGGCCUUCGGGUGCCGACGAGUGGCGAACGGGUGAGUAAUACAUCGGAACGUGCCCGAUCGUGGGGGAUAACGAGGCGAAAGCUUUGCUGAUACCGCAUACGAUCUACGGAUGAAAGCAGGGGACCGCAAGGCCUUGCGCGGACGGAGCGGCCGAUGGCAGAUUAGGUAGUUGGUGGGAUAAAAGCUUACCAAGCCGACGAUCUGUAGCUGGUCUGAGAGGAUGAUCAGCCACACUGGGACUGAGACACGGCCCAGACUCCUACGGGAGGCAGCAGUGGGGAAUUUUGGACAAUGGGCGCAGGCCUGAUCCAGCCAUGCCGCGUGCAGGAUGAAGGCCUUCGGGUUGUAAACUGCUUUUGUACGGAACGAAAAGCCUUCUUUUAAUACAGGAGGGUCAUGACGGUACCGUAAGAAUAAGCACCGGCUAACUACGUG
Molecule: ribosomal RNA, 482 nt
Filed under: uncultured bacterium
Lineage: Bacteria
Description: partial 16S ribosomal RNA
Rfam family: Bacterial small subunit ribosomal RNA
Source: RNAcentral